Molecule: ribosomal RNA, 467 nt
Filed under: uncultured bacterium
Lineage: Bacteria
Description: partial 16S ribosomal RNA
Rfam family: Bacterial small subunit ribosomal RNA
Source: RNAcentral
GACGAACGCUGGCGGCGUGCUUAACACAUGCAAGUCGAACGGAAAGGCCUCUUUCGGGGGGUACUCGAGUGGCGAACGGGUGAGUAACACGUGAGUAACCUGCCCUUGACUUUGGGAUAACUUCAGGAAACUGGGGCUAAUACCGGAUAGGAGCUCCUGCUGCAUGGUGGGGGUUGGAAAGUUUCGGCGGUUGGGGAUGGACUCGCGGCUUAUCAGCUUGUUGGUGGGGUAGUGGCUUACCAAGGCUUUGACGGGUAGCCGGCCUGAGAGGGUGAACGGCCACAUUGGGACUGAGAUACGGCCCAGACUCCUACGGGAGGCAGCAGUGGGGAAUAUUGCACAAUGGGUGGAAGCCUGAUGCAGCAACGCCGUGUGCGGGAUGACGGCCUUCGGGUUGUAAACCGCUUUCGCUCAGGACGAAGCUUUGUGUGACGGUAGUGGGUAAAGAAGCACCGGCUAACUACGUG